CAAUAGCGUAUAUUAAAGCUGUUGCGGCUAAAAAGCUCGUAGUUGGAUUUCUGUCAAGGACAACUGGUCCGCCCCUCGGGUGAGCACAUAGUUUGGUCUUGGCAUCUUGUUGGAAACUGUUGCUGCACUUGGUUGUGUGGCGCAGUGUCCAGCACUUUCACUUUGAGGAAAUUGGAGUGUUUCAAGCAGGCACAUGCCUUUGGACACAGUAGCAUGGAAUAAUUAGAUUGGGCUUUUGCUCCAACUUGUCGGUUUCUGGAGCUGAGGUGAGAAUUAAUGGGGAUUGUUGGGGGCAUCCGAAUUUAGCCGUCAGAGGUGAAAUUCUUGGAUCUGCUAAAGACGGACAACUGCGAAAGCGUUUGCCAAGGAUGUUUUCAUUGA
RNAcentral lists this ribosomal RNA (381 nucleotides) under uncultured eukaryote. RNAcentral describes it as "partial 18S ribosomal RNA". It matches the Rfam family "Eukaryotic small subunit ribosomal RNA", at positions 592 to 976 of the family's 1831-position model. The record is from RNAcentral.